UCUAGAGGCUUCGGCAAUGGGGGCAACCCUGACCGAGCGACGCCGCGUGCAGGAUGAAGGUCUUCGGAUUGUAAACUGCUUUCGAUUGGAAGGAACGUGGGGAUGGUGAGUCCCCGUUUGACUGACCGGUGAAAGAAGCCCCGGCUAACUUCGUGCCAGCAGCCGCGGUAAUACGAAGGGGGCGAGCGUUAUUCGGAUUUAUUGGGCGUAAAGGGCGUGUAGGCGGCUGGGGAAGUCUGGUGUAAAAACGCUGCCGCUCAACGGAGCGAUGCCGCUGGAAACUCCCCAACUUGAGAGACGUAGAGGUGAGCAGAAUACCUGGUGUAGCGGUGGAAUGCUUAGAGAUCAGGUAGAAUAUCCGAGGCGAAGGCGGCUCACUGGACGUUUUCUGACGCUAAGGCG
This 402-nucleotide ribosomal RNA is filed under the name uncultured bacterium. RNAcentral describes it as "bacterial SSU rRNA". It matches the Rfam family "Bacterial small subunit ribosomal RNA", at positions 355 to 753 of the family's 1533-position model. The record is from RNAcentral.